UAGGGAAUCUUCCACAAUGGACGCAAGUCUGAUGGAGCAACGCCGCGUGAGUGAAGAAGGUUUUCGGACCGUAAAGCUCUGUUGUUGGUGAAGAAGGAUAGAGGUAGUAACUGGCCUUUAUUUGACGGUAAUCAACCAGAAAGUCACGGCUAACUACGUGCCAGCAGCCGCGGUAAUACGUAGGUGGCAAGCGUUGUCCGGAUUUAUUGGGCGUAAAGCGAGCGCAGGCGGAAGAAUAAGUCUGAUGUGAAAGCCCUCGGCUUAACCGAGGAAUUGCAUCGGAAACUGUUUUCUUGAGUGCAGAAGAGGAGAGUAGAACUCCAUGUGUAGCGGUGGAAUGCGUAGAUAUAUGGAAGAAUACCAGUGGCGAAGGCGGCUCUCUGGUCUGCAACUGACGCUGAGGCUCGAAAGCAUGGGUAGCGAACAGGAUUAGAUACCCUGGUAGUCCAUGCCGUAAAACGAUGAGUGCUA
Molecule: ribosomal RNA, 471 nt
Filed under: uncultured bacterium
Lineage: Bacteria
Description: partial 16S ribosomal RNA
Rfam family: Bacterial small subunit ribosomal RNA
Source: RNAcentral